GGAGCUUGCUCUUCUUGGAUGAGUUGCGAACGGGUGAGUAACGCGUAGGUAACCUGCCUUGUAGCGGGGGAUAACUAUUGGAAACGAUAGCUAAUACCGCAUAACAAUGGAUGACACAUGUCAUUUAUUUGAAAGGGGCAAUUGCUCCACUACAAGAUGGACCUGCGUUGUAUUAGCUAGUAGGUGAGGUAAUGGCUCACCUAGGCGACGAUACAUAGCCGACCUGAGAGGGUGAUCGGCCACACUGGGACUGAGACACGGCCCAGACUCCUACGGGAGGCAGCAGUAGGGAAUCUUCGGCAAUGGGGGCAACCCUGACCGAGCAACGCCGCGUGAGUGAAGAAGGUUUUCGGAUCGUAAAGCUCUGUUGUAAGUCAAGAACGGGUGUGAGAGUGGAAAGUUCACACUGUGACGGUAGCUUACCAGAAAGGGACGGCUAACUACGUGCCAGCAGCCGCGGUAAUACGUAGGUCCCGAGCGUUGUCCGGAUUUAUUGGGCGUAAAGCGAGCGCAGGCGGUUUGAUAAGUCUGAAGUUAAAGGCUGUGGCUCAACCAUAGUUCGCUUUGGAAACUGUCAAACUUGAGUGCAGAAGGGGAGAGUGGAAUUCCAUGUGUAGCGGUGAAAUGCGUAGAUAUAUGGAGGAACACCGGUGGCGAAAGCGGCUCUCUGGUCUGUAACUGACGCUGAGGCUCGAAAGCGUGGGGAGCGAACAGGAUUAGAUACCCUGGUAGUCCACGCCGUAAACGAUGAGUGCUAGGUGUUGGAUCCUUUCCGGGAUUCAGUGCCGCAGCUAACGCAUUAAGCACUCCGCCUGGGGAGUACGACCGCAAGGUUGAAACUCAAAGGAAUUGACGGGGGCCCGCACAAGCGGUGGAGCAUGUGGUUUAAUUCGAAGCAACGCGAAGAACCUUACCAGGUCUUGACAUCCCGAUGCUAUUUCUAGAGAUAGAAAGUUACUUCGGUACAUCGGUGACAGGUGGUGCAUGGUUGUCGUCAGCUCGUGUCGUGAGAUGUUGGGUUAAGUCCCGCAACGAGCGCAACCCCUAUUGUUAGUUGCCAUCAUUCAGUUGGGCACUCUAGCGAGACUGCCGGUAAUAAACCGGAGGAAGGUGGGGAUGACGUCAAAUCAUCAUGCCCCUUAUGACCUGGGCUACACACGUGCUACAAUGGUUGGUACAACGAGUUGCGAGUCGGUGACGGCGAGCUAAUCUCUUAAAGCCAAUCUCAGUUCGGAUUGUAGGCUGCAACUCGCCUACAUGAAGUCGGAAUCGCUAGUAAUCGCGGAUCAGCACGCCGCGGUGAAUACGUUCCCGGGCCUUGUACACACCGCCCGUCACACCACGAGAGUUUGUAACACCCGAAGUCGGUGAGGU
This 1374-nucleotide ribosomal RNA is filed under the name Streptococcus thermophilus. Its description in RNAcentral is "bacterial SSU rRNA". It matches the Rfam family "Bacterial small subunit ribosomal RNA", at positions 75 to 1436 of the family's 1533-position model. Lineage: Bacteria; Bacillati; Bacillota; Bacilli; Lactobacillales; Streptococcaceae. The record is from RNAcentral.